RNA transcript from Diospyros lotus (date-plum), 815 nucleotides. RefSeq lists it as uncharacterized. The transcript is spliced from 4 exons. The record is from RefSeq and is a predicted model, not a curated record. Lineage: Eukaryota; Viridiplantae; Streptophyta; Magnoliopsida; Ericales; Ebenaceae.
AUUCGAUUUGGGCGUGAACCCUGCCUGGUUUUGGGGAAUUUUAUUAAACCCUACAUAGUUAUCUCACUCCCUCAACGUCUGCGUUUUGCGAAAAUGAAGAUGGCCAGUCAGCAGCAACAGGCGGCGUCGAUUCGGCCGUGGAUCCUUGAAGUGGUGCCUCUCAUGGUAGUUAUUCUAAUCGCCGCUCAUGUCUUCGCUCUGGUUUACUGGAUCUACAGGCUAGCUACUGAUAAACAGCCUCAGAGAAGGAAGGAGCACUAGGGGGAAGCACUUCAAUUCACAGCCACACACAAGAAGUGUUAAGUGAAGUAUGGACAACGAUGUGAACGCUAGGAUGAGUUGUGGCCCUCGGACACAACCAAGGCCAGUGAAUGAUGGUUAACGACGGCGAGAGAGGGCAACAAUCAAGACAAUAAAGAAAGAGAUGGGUGAUGGAAAGAGGAGACAAUGGACACGACAAGAUGAUGACGACGACGACGAUCGAUAUGAUGACCAAUAUGCAAGUAGGAGUUGGUGAUCAACACGACAAAAUAGGAGAUCUGGCAACGACGAUUGUCCAAGGAUGGAGACAGUGGUUGAUCUACUGGAGAUGGCAUUGCUAUAAUGCGAGCAAUGGAGGAGGCAUAGAAGAAGAAGGGGGAUAUAGUUAUAAAUGUGUAGAAUGUUUGAAGAUAAAUCUUUAAAUUUAUUGAUCUACACAAAAAGCUCAUAAUAGCAUUUUUGAAAAAGUGUCGGGGAAGAGAGCUUUUGUCAAAUGUUGAUGAAUUAAUUUUAAACUUAGUAGGGUUUAUGCUACCGGAUAUUGUUAAAUAUUU